Long non-coding RNA from Sarcophilus harrisii (Tasmanian devil), 423 nucleotides. RefSeq lists it as uncharacterized. NCBI's taxonomy places the organism in Eukaryota, Metazoa, Chordata, Mammalia, Dasyuromorphia, Dasyuridae. The record is from RefSeq and is a predicted model, not a curated record. The transcript is spliced from 3 exons.
CGGUUUUCGGCUUCUGUUAGCAGGAGACUAGUCUGUUAUGGUGAAGCAGGGAGGGGUUCUUCGGCCCAGAAGCUCAUGUUCCAAUGGGGGAGACCAACAUGCAAACCACAGUAAAUGGGAAGUGAUCUCAGGAAGAAAGCACUGGUGGCAGAAAAUGGAAAGGGACAUGAAAGGUCAAUAGUAAAAGGGUGCCUUGCUGAUGAAUUUAAGAAAGUUGGUUAACUUUAAGCAAAAUCACAGCCUCAGGAAGGUUCACAUUUCAGUAAGUUUACACAUUUAUAACAAAAGAUCUGGACUAAAUGACCUCCAAGACUCCUUCUAGUUCUAAACCUCUUUCCAAUGACCCUAUGAAAUAAUGUAUAUUCUAAUAAAAAGUAAAAUAGUGCUUAUGAGAUUUGAAGACUGGAAAUUUGAUGACUUGAC